UACAGAGGUCUCAAGCGUUGUUCGGAUUCAUUGGGCGUAAAGGGUGCGUAGGCGGCGGGGCAAGUCUGAUGUGAAAUCCCGGGGCUCAACCCCGGAACUGCAUUGGAUACUGCUUUGCUUGAGUACUGGAGAGGGAACUGGAAUUUACGGUGUAGCAGUGAAAUGCGUAGAGAUCGUAAGGAAGGCCAGUGGCGAAGGCGAGUUCCUGGACAGUUACUGACGCUGAGGCACGAAGGCCAGGGGAGCAAACGGG
This 253-nucleotide ribosomal RNA is filed under the name uncultured bacterium. Its description in RNAcentral is "partial 16S ribosomal RNA". It matches the Rfam family "Bacterial small subunit ribosomal RNA", at positions 524 to 776 of the family's 1533-position model. The record is from RNAcentral.